This 488-nucleotide ribosomal RNA is filed under the name uncultured bacterium. Its description in RNAcentral is "partial 16S ribosomal RNA". It matches the Rfam family "Bacterial small subunit ribosomal RNA", at positions 30 to 507 of the family's 1533-position model. The record is from RNAcentral.
AUUGAACGCUGGCGGCAGGCCUAACACAUGCAAGUCGAACGGUAACAGGAAGCAGCUUGCUGCUUCGCUGACGAGUGGCGGACGGGUGAGUAAUGUCUGGGAAGCUGCCUGAUGGAGGGGGAUAACUACUGGAAACGGUAGCUAAUACCGCAUAAUGUCGCAAGACCAAAGAGGGGGACCUUCGGGCCUCUUGCCAUCGGAUGUGCCCAGAUGGGAUAGCUUGUUGGUGGGGUAACGGCUCACCAAGGCGACGAUCCCUAGCUGGUCUGAGAGGAUGACCAGCCACACUGGACUGAGACACGGUCCAGACUCCUACGGGAGGCAGCAGUGGGGAAUAUUGCACAAUGGGCGCAAGCCUGAUGCAGCCAUGCCGCGUGUAUGAAGAAGGCCUUCGGGUUGUAAGGUACUUUCAGCGGGGAGGAAGGGAGUAAAGUUAAUACCUUUGCUCAUUGACGUUACCCGCAGAAGAAGCACCGGCUAACUCCGUG